RNAcentral lists this ribosomal RNA (467 nucleotides) under uncultured bacterium. Its description in RNAcentral is "partial 16S ribosomal RNA". It matches the Rfam family "Bacterial small subunit ribosomal RNA", at positions 29 to 507 of the family's 1533-position model. The record is from RNAcentral.
ACGAACGCUGGCGGCGUGCUUAACACAUGCAAGUCGAACGGAAAGGCCCUGCUUUUGUGGGGUUCUCGAGUGGCGAACGGGUUAGUAACACGUGAGUAACCUUCCCUUGACUUUUGGAUAACUUCAGGAAACUGGGGCUAAUACCGGAUAGGAGCUCCUGCUGCAUGGUGGGGGUUGGAAAGUUUCGGCGGUUGGGGAUGGACUCGCGGCUUAUCAGCUUGUUGGUGGGGUAGUGGCUUACCAAGGCUUUGACGGGUAGCCGGCCUGAGAGGGUGACCGGCAACAUUGGGACUGAGAUACGGCCCAGACUCCAACGGGAGGAAGCAGUGGGGAAUAUUGCACAAUGGGCGGAAGCCAGAUGCAGCAACGCCGCGUGCGGGAUGACGGCCUUCGGGUUGUAAACCGCUUUCGCCUGUGACGAAGCGUGAGUGACGGUAAUGGGUAAAGAAGCACCGGCUAACUACGUG